Labeo rohita (rohu) is the source of this 287-nucleotide long non-coding RNA. RefSeq lists it as uncharacterized. Lineage: Eukaryota; Metazoa; Chordata; Actinopteri; Cypriniformes; Cyprinidae. The transcript is spliced from 3 exons. The record is from RefSeq and is a predicted model, not a curated record.
CAUCGAACUUUCUGGAUCCUUCACUCGUCUCCUCGUCAGGCGGUCACGCAAUUCGCAGCAAGCAGGAUUAUACGAUAUGUGAGAUUCUUGCUGGUGCAGAUGGACAGCUUUGUAAUAGAGAAGUUGAAGGAAAGGCAGCUUGAUACCCUGGUUAAAACCUUUGAAGAUUUCACAAGACUUCAGGAAGCUACAUCCAGAGGCAGACUUUUUGUAGACUGGGCUACGAUUGCAGACAAAAUUGUUGCCGAUGCCCAGCAAGAUGGAAAGGUGCAUUAAGAGCGGGGUGA